Molecule: ribosomal RNA, 253 nt
Filed under: uncultured bacterium
Lineage: Bacteria
Description: partial 16S ribosomal RNA
Rfam family: Bacterial small subunit ribosomal RNA
Source: RNAcentral
UACAGGGGGUGCAAACGUUGCUCGGAAUCAUUGGGCGUAAAGCGCACGUAGGCGGUUUGUUAUGUCGGAUGUGAAAGCCCUUGGCUCAACUGAGGAAGUGCAUCCGAAACUGGCAGCUAGAGUACUAAAGAGGGUCGCGGAAUUCCCGGUGUAGAGGUGAAAUUCGUAGAUAUCGGGAGGAACACCGGUGGCGAAGGCGGCGACCUGGGUAGAUACGUGACGCUGAGGCGCGAAAGCAUGGGGAGCGAACGGG